This is a long non-coding RNA of Amphibalanus amphitrite, 1519 nucleotides long. RefSeq lists it as uncharacterized. Lineage: Eukaryota; Metazoa; Arthropoda; Thecostraca; Balanomorpha; Balanidae. The record is from RefSeq and is a predicted model, not a curated record. The transcript is spliced from 3 exons.
UCUCCCCCUCCGUCGAUAAGCAAUUUGAUGAUUUUAAUGAUAAUGAUUGAUUUUGAUCAUUUUGAUCUAUAUUGAUACAUGCGUAUGAGCGUGCACAUUUGACUUUGCAUUCGCACGGUGCGUGAUAUCGUGCAUGAUAUAUUCGUGAUGGCAGCCACUGAAAAUCUCACUGUUAGCCAGGCUAAAGAUAUCUUGCAAGACUUGCUGCAGACACUGCAGUCAGAUGAGAUAAACGAGAAGAUAUCUGGAGCACGAGAUCAGGCUGGCAAUGACAUGGUCAAAUACAUGCAGCUCGUUUUUCCACUGGUAGCUCAGGUGCAGGCAGAGGUCAUCGAAAAACAUGGAUUUUAUGGUGAACGAGCAAGUGUAGCCUUCAUGCAGAUGCUGAAGAACUUGGAAACACAGGACCCUGAGCUGGUGGCAAUGAGUGCAAGGGUGAGAGAGUAUUUCCUGCCCCAGUUGGGAGACCCAAAGGAUAGCUGAGAUGUGUCUGAAAACAAAUGACUGAACACCGUAUGAUGUGGGUGAGAACUGAAAGAUGUGUUGUCUAUUUUUUGUGCUUUUUUACAAUGAACAUUUCUUGGACACUUCAGUGGCACUAUUUCGAGGGAAAGAGCUUGGCGAAUUGCAUUGUGCAGUAAUGAGAGAAUCUAGGUUCUCUAGAUGAUGAUUUAGAAAGAGUAUCGACUACCGAUGCUCAUUACCUUCCCUUAUUAUUAAUGCGGUGAAAUUUCCAAAGGGAGUUGACUGAAAGUAACAUGAUCUUUGUUGUACCAUGAAGUGGGUCUCGAAUUCGAUUCAACUAGACAGGAUGCGAAUCCAUCAUAAUCGUGGCAAUUUUUCCCCGCGCAGUGAAGUGUUAUGUUGAUGUAGUAUGUACGAACGUAUCACUUCGUUGUGUUGUGGUAUGGCAGAUAUUCGCCAAUGAUUAGCAUCAACAUAUACCACUCGUCAAUCAGUAGUGCUUGGCUAUCGACGCCUGUAGGUAAUGCCACUCCGCUUAUUUGAACGUCCGUCCGUAUAGACGUUCAGAUACCGAUGGCAUGAUUCUUAUCGGUCAUUUGGCUAACGUUGUGACUCAGCUGAUUGGAAUGCAUCCAUUGGGUGCUGGUAGAGAUGUUUUGUGUGUGGUGCCCUACUUAGUCAAAGCAAGUGCCUUAUCUCCAGCUAGAUUUAGGCGAGAUAUUGCGGUCAUUGUCCUCGUAGUUCGUAUAUGGCUGAAUGCAGAGGUGAUGUUUGGGCCCUGAACACAUGAAUUAGCAUAGGUUGUCUUCUGCUGGUGUUAGCGAUGUAAUCUUGCCUCAUAUUGCGAUGCGAAUUGACGAUAUCAGUCCCAAACUCAUCCCGGAACACGAAGUUCAUAACCUUGCUGAUAAAGCUAUUUGUGGCUUGAGUCAGUUGCUUCCCUUUCAGUUGUGGAUCGCGCCCUAUUUCAGUUUGUAUGCACCAUUAAUUCAUUAUGUCUGAGCUUUAAGCGUGUACUUUUCUGAACUAACAAUAAACGUACUUACUAAUGUGA